This is a long non-coding RNA of Hemicordylus capensis (graceful crag lizard), 3097 nucleotides long. RefSeq lists it as uncharacterized. The record is from RefSeq and is a predicted model, not a curated record. Lineage: Eukaryota; Metazoa; Chordata; Lepidosauria; Squamata; Cordylidae. The transcript is spliced from 3 exons.
CCAUAACACUUACAACUGUCACCAACUGUCAAAGGGAAUGCAGGGAAGAAAGAAGCCAUGGAAAAGUGGAGGUGGAAAGAAGAAUGGAGAGAUGGAAGGCCAGAAAAAAAAGUGUGAAAGAGGACUUCUCCAGGCACAAAGAAAGAGAAAGAUGAGAGGGAGGGAGGGAAAAAAGAGUAACAUAAGUGAAGAAAGAUAGAGGUGCCACAGAAAACCAACAACUUCCUUGUCAUUCCAGCUGUCAAAAAUGACUGGAGGAAGAAAUAAUUCUCCAAGAAUCUCUGAAGGAAGGGAAGGAAGGAAGGAAGGAAGGAAGGAAGGAAGGAAGGAAGGAAGGAAGGAAGGGGAGACUCACAUAACCAGAGAGGAGCGCUUCCAGUGGAGACCUGGGCAAGUUCUGAAGGGGCUUUAAAAGAGAAGGCCUGAGCACUGCUUUGAUUAUUCACAGGGAAGGCUGCAAUCGUACAGAGAAAAGCAAUAGUUAUAGUAUUCAAGGCGCAACUCUUCUGGUAAAAAGGCUGGGAAACCUGCAAGAAAAGGAACAAAUAGUGAAAAGAGAAAGAAACUUGCUCUUAUCUCCAGCUGUGAAAUGAAAGUAAAUACUUCCUGUAGUAAUCUGCUAAAAGUCACAGGUUUGUUGCCAAGAAACAGAACUCAGUGGCCAAUGGAAUUUCACAAAUGUGAAGUAUGAAGGCAAAUUAUAACAGCAUCACAGAGUUAACAUUCGUAAGAAAUAUUUACAAUGUAUAACACACUAAUAUUACUUUUAAACAAGUCAACAGCCAAUUUUGUUUUACAAAAGACCAAUAAAAAUACUUCAACCAAUAAAGUCUUGCAAGUUUAGAGAAAAAGCACCCUUUGAUGUAUUUCUCCUUUUACAUGGAAAAAAGGUGUUAUUUCUGAAAUCAUUGUAUGGUCCCAUAACGUUCUUAUCCAUCACAGAAUUCACUAAAUUAUUGUUCUCUCUUUGUUGUUUCAGAACUUGGAGUGCAGUUUGUUUUGGAAACUAUGCUUUUAAAACUUUCUUUGUGAGCGUGUCGCACCAACUUGUGAAUCCACCAUUUCUUCACUUGCUAUACUAGAAAUCGCCUUGUCAAAUGUGUGUCUCAACUCCACAUCUGUGCAACUAACAGAGCAUCAAGGGCAGAGGCACUUCCAGAAGAGUGUUUAACUCUUCCUAUGCCCAUAACUUCUCGCCUACCAAUACCAUCCCUAAGGCUGUUGGGCUCACUUUUCAGAGGCAGUGGAAGAAAUUAAGAACUGCUUAGGGGUGGGCACAUUUGCAAAAGAAAACUGGUAGGUGGGGGGAAAGGUUAAGCACCUCCAGUCUCUUUUAAAACAUCUUAUUUCCUACACAUGCUGAAAUAAGAGCAUCUCUUUCUCGGUUUGCUUUUAGGAGGACCCUGAGAUGUACCUGUUUUCCCAGGCUUUUAAUUGAAAUCUAAAUUUUAAUGUGUUUUUAUUUAUUGAGAUUUUAUCUAUUUUAUGAAUUUUAACCAUUUCAUAUUGUUUUAUGUUUUGAUUUGUAUACCGCCUGGAGAUUUCUAUAUCAGGUGGUAAAGAAAUAUAAUACAAUACAAUACAAUACAUGCUGCUCCUGUUCCAUGCUUCAGAGUAGGAGUAGGCAAUCCUAGCUCUCUGUUGAACUACAACUCCAUUCCUAGCCACAAUUUAUUGCCACAAAGAUUGCCUUUCCGUUGCCUUUGAGUUUACCAUCAACCAUGAAAUGACAGCAUACAACAGCUAAAGCAGGGCUAAAUUAUCACACAAGUAGCUUGAGUUAGCAAGAAUCCUUUAUUGGGCUCUGCAAAGCACAUGGCCAAAAACUGUCCAUCUGUUACAAAGUUAAAUUCCAGUCUCACAAGUACAUCUGUACAGAAAUAGCUGCAUGCAGAAACACACUGGAAUGGAUGAGAUUUUUUAAAGCACAGCUACACCAAAGCCUCCUUAAAAGUGAGAGACCUUGUAUGUCCAUUUGUAUAAGUACUUCCCAUCCUUUGAGAUCCAACAACAAUAUUCAAGCAAGGUAAGUCUAAACAUUUAGAGGUAAAAUAAAACAUAAAACCAACAAAAGGCAAAGCUGUACCUGAAAUAUUAGACUUGUCUUUCAAUGGAGAAUAGGAAGAAAACAUCCAUUGUCCGGAAGAUUCCCAAAUCUCCAUGUCUUUCAUUAUUAAUUCACUGGAUAAAAGAUACAAAAAUAAAUAAAAUAAAAGCAUAGACUAACCUGCAGAUUUGAAACAAAAUCCUAGAUUUUUAGCUUUUAAUUUAAAAGCUAGAUUCUAGAUUUUUGUAAAACCACAGAGCCAAGUUGAAGGUCUGCUAAUGUUGAUGAAAAGAAAUGAGUUCUAGAAGAGAAUGUAUUGCAAUACUCUGUAUUUUAGAGGCAGAAAAACAACAAAGCAUACAACUGGAGAGAAUGAAAAGUGCAAGAUGAAGCAGAAGCAAUGUACUAGAAUGAAAAACCAACAUUUCCCAUGGAAUGAAAUUUCUCAAUAUUUUAGAGCAGUUUGAUUUUCAUAAACAAAGCCACUCCAGUCCAGCAAAGGAGAUUCACAUAUGCAUUAACUGCCUGCUAAGAUACGGAUUUAUUCUCCCACUUGUAUUCAGAGCCACUAGUUGAGUGCAGCAAAGCAUGACUAGAACUGGAUUGGAGACAGCAUUAAAGCCAUUGGAAACGUAUUUGUACAUGCAUCCAGGUCAUAUGUGUUUGAUAGUUAUUACAAAAUAAUAAUAAUCUAAAGAUAGUAUCCACAUGAUUAAAAUAACGUGUAAAAAAUUAUGUGUUCGCUACUUUCUACUAGGUUAGGAUGUUUAGGCUACUGCUUCCCUUUUCACUUUCCAGUGUGCAUUAGGGGUGUGCACGGAACCGUUUUUUGUGGUUUGGUAAUUCAAACUGAAUCUCUAGUCUGCAAACCGGUUUGAACUGGUUCGACACAGUUUGAGGGGCUCUGCUUGUAAAGGGGAAUUCCAGCUUUAAAGGUUUCUAAGGGCACUGGUGAGUAGGGGUGUGCACGGAACUGGCUGGCCCGGUUCAGUUAGAGUCUAGACUGGACUCGAAGUCCGCUCCGGCCCCCAUCGAACCCAUCCCGGUCCA